RNAcentral lists this ribosomal RNA (497 nucleotides) under uncultured bacterium. Its description in RNAcentral is "partial 16S ribosomal RNA". It matches the Rfam family "Bacterial small subunit ribosomal RNA", at positions 28 to 507 of the family's 1533-position model. The record is from RNAcentral.
GAUGAACGCUGGCGGCGUGCCUAAUACAUGCAAGUCGAGCGAACAGACGAGGAGCUUGCUCCUCUGACGUUAGCGGCGGACGGGUGAGUAACACGUGGAUAACCUACCUAUAAGACUGGGAUAACUUCGGGAAACCGGAGCUAAUACCGGAUAAUAUAUUGAACCGCAUGGUUCAAUAGUGAAAGACGGUUUUGCUGUCACUUAUAGAUGGAUCCGCGCCGCAUUAGCUAGUUGGUAGGGUAACGGCUUACCAAGGCAACGAUGCGUAGCCGACCUGAGAGGGGGAUCGGCCACACUGGAACUGAGACACGGUCCAGACUCCUACGGGAGGCAGCAGUAGGGAAUCUUCCGCAAUGGGCGAAAGCCUGACGGAGCAACGCCGCGUGAGUGAUGAAGGUCUUCGGAUCGUAAAACUCUGUUAUUAGGGAAGAACAAAUGUGUAAGUAACUAUGCACGUCUUGACGGUACCUAAUCAGAAAGCCACGGCUAACUACGUG